GGGUGACGCAUGUGGAACGAGCGGCGGACGGGUGAGUAACACGUGGGCAACCUGCCUGUAAGACUGGGAUAACUCCGGGAAACCGGGGCUAAUACCGGAUAAUACGUUUUCUUGCAUAAGGAGACGUUAAAAGGCGGCGCAAGCUGUCACUUACAGAUGGGCCCGCGGCGCAUUAGCUAGUUGGUGGGGUAAAAGCCUACCAAGGCGACGAUGCGUAGCCGACCUGAGAGGGUGAUCGGCCACACUGGGACUGAGACACGGCCCAGACUCCUACGGGAGGCAGCAGUAGGGAAUCUUCCGCAAUGGACGAAAGUCUGACGGAGCAACGCCGCGUGAGUGAAGAAGGUUUUCGGAUUGUAAAACUCUGUUGUUAGGGAAGAACAAGUGCCGUUCAAAUAGGGCGGCACCUUGACGGUACCUAACCAGAAAGCCCCGGCUAACUACGUGCCAGCAGCCGCGGUAAUACGUAGGGGGCAAGCGUUGUCCGGAAUUAUUGGGCGUAAAGCGCGCGCAGGCGGUCUUUUAAGUCUGAUGUGAAAGCCCACGGCUUAACCGUGGAGGGCCAUUGGAAACUGGAGGACUUGAGUACAGAAGAGGAGAGUGGAAUUCCACGUGUAGCGGUGAAAUGCGUAGAGAUGUGGAGGAACACCAGUGGCGAAGGCGACUCUCUGGUCUGUAACUGACGCUGAGGUGCGAAAGCGUGGGUAGCGAACAGGAUUAGAUACCCUGGUAGUCCACGCCGUAAACGAUGAGUGCUAGGUGUUAAGGGGGUUUCCGCCCCUUAGUGCUGCAGUUAACGCAUUAAGCACUCCGCCUGGGGAGUACGGCCGCAAGGCUGAAACUCAAAAGAAUUGACGGGGACCCGCACAAGCGGUGGAGCAUGUGGUUUAAUUCGAAGCAACGCGAAGAACCUUACCAGGUCUUGACAUCCUCUGACGGCCCUAGAGAUAGGGAGUUCCCUUCGGGGACAGAGUGACAGGUGGUGCAAUGGUUGUCGUCAGCUCGUGUCGUGAGAUGUUUGGGUUAAUUCCCGCAACGAGCGCAACCCUUGAUCUUAGUUGCCAGCAUUCAGUUGGGCACUCUAAGGUGACUGCCGGUGACAAACCGGAGGAAGGUGGGGAUGACGUCAAAUCAUCAUGCCCCUUAUGACCUGGGCUACACACGUGCUACAAUGGAUGGAACAAAGGGCAGCGAAGCCGUGAGGCCAAGCAAAUCCCACAAAACCAUUCUCAGUUCGGAUUGCAGGCUGCAACUCGCCUGCAUGAAGCCGGAAUCGCUAGUAAUCGCGGAUCAGCAUGCCGCGGUGAAUACGUNCCCGGGUCUUGUACACACCGCCCGUCACACCACGAGAGUUGGUAACACCCGAAGUCGGUGA
RNAcentral lists this ribosomal RNA (1375 nucleotides) under Virgibacillus sp. RNAcentral's name for it is "bacterial SSU rRNA". It matches the Rfam family "Bacterial small subunit ribosomal RNA", at positions 74 to 1433 of the family's 1533-position model. Lineage: Bacteria; Bacillati; Bacillota; Bacilli; Caryophanales; Bacillaceae. The record is from RNAcentral.